This 492-nucleotide ribosomal RNA is filed under the name uncultured bacterium. RNAcentral describes it as "partial 16S ribosomal RNA". It matches the Rfam family "Bacterial small subunit ribosomal RNA", at positions 29 to 507 of the family's 1533-position model. The record is from RNAcentral.
AGUGAACGCUGGCGGUAGGCCUAACACAUGCAAGUCGAACGGCAGCACAGUAAGAGCUUGCUCUUACGGGUGGCGAGUGGCGGACGGGUGAGGAAUACAUCGGAAUCUACUUUUUCGUGGGGGAUAACGUAGGGAAACUUACGCUAAUACCGCAUACGACCUACGGGUGAAAGCAGGGGAUCUUCGGACCUUGCGCGAUUGAAUGAGCCGAUGUCGGAUUAGCUAGUUGGCGGGGUAAAGGCCCACCAAGGCGCCGAUCAGUAGCUGGUCUGAGAGGAUGAUCAGCCACACUAGAACUGAGACACGGUCCAGACUCCUACGGGAGGCAGCAGUGGGGAAUAUUGGACAAUGGGCGCAAGCCUGAUCCAGCCCUACCGCGUGGGUGAAGAAGGCCUUCGGGUUGGAAAGCCCUUUUGUUGGGAAGGAAAAGCAGCAGGUUAAUACCCCGCUGUUCUGACGGUACCCAAAGAAUAAGCACCGGCUAACUUCGUG